RNAcentral lists this ribosomal RNA (1096 nucleotides) under Candidatus Sungiibacteriota bacterium. RNAcentral's name for it is "bacterial SSU rRNA". It matches the Rfam family "Bacterial small subunit ribosomal RNA", at positions 1 to 706 of the family's 1533-position model. The record is from RNAcentral. Lineage: Bacteria; Candidatus Sungiibacteriota.
UUUACUGAGAGUUUGAUCCUGGCUCAGGGUGAACGCUGGCGGCGUGCCUAACACAUGCAAGUCGUACGGUCCACAGGACCGAACAGUUAACUUAAAACAUUUAACCAUUAACUCGGAGUAAUAUGGAAACAUUUAGAUUUCGAAGUUUUAAAGUUUACCUAGAUGCAAAAAGAUUUAAUGUGGAGAUCUUUGCAGCUUCGAAACGAUUUCCAUUUGAACUUCGCUCACAAGUUAUUCGCAGCUCUUUAUCGAUUGUCUUGAACAUCGCAGAAGGCUCUGCUAAAAAAUCUGAUAAAGAUUUUAAUCGUUAUGUGCAAAAUGCGCUUGGGUCAGUAAAUGAAACGGUGGCAGCACUAGAAAUUGGACAUGAUUUGAAAUUUCUAUCCAGCGCACAGUUCCAAGCACUAAUUGCAGUAGCACAAGAGAUAGCGCGGCAACUUGGUGGGUUUUCAAAGAAACUCACUCGUUAAUUGUUACGUGUUAAUUGUUGAAUGUUCUGUCCUGUGGACAGUGGCAGACGGGUGAGUAACACGUAGGAACAUACCCCAAACUCGAGCAUAAUUCGCCGAAAGGCGGACUAAUUCUCGAUGGUGUGGAGGUCAAAUCUUCACUAAAGCUCCGGCGGUUUGGGAAUGGCCUGCGGCCUAUCAGCUAGUUGGUGGGGUAAUUGCCUACCAAGGCUACGACGGGUAGGGGGUCUGAGAGGAUGGCCCCCCACAAGGUGACUGAGACACGGCACCUACUCCUACGGGAGGCAGCAGUUGGGAAUAUUGGACAAUGCCCGCAAGGGUGAUCCAGCGACGCCGCGUGGAGGAAGAAGCACAUACGUGCGUAAACUCCUUUUGUCGGGGAAAAUUGUGAUGGUACCCGAAGAAUAAGGGCUUACUAAACUCGUGCCAGCAGUAGCGGUAAUACGAGUAGCCCAAGCGUUACCCGGAUUUAUUGGGUGUAAAGCGCCGGUAGGUGGUUUUGUGCAUCCUGCUUUAAAGACCUCUGCUUAACGGAGGAAAUGGGCAGGAGAUGGCGAAACUUUGAGGGUUGCAGGGGUGAGCGGAAUUGACGGUGUAGCAGUGAAAUGCGUUGAUAUCGUCAAGAA